GGGCUCCUGCGUUUAGAGUGGAAGUACCGCGCGCGAGCUGUCUGGGUCAGUCAACACAACCCGAGACACAAGUUUAUGUCAAAAACGUGGAUGUUCAGAAUUAUGCAUCAUCACUACAGGGAGAGGUCGAGAGGAAACAUUUUAAGGAAUACAUUUGCAUUAUCUGUGGAUUAUUUUCACUUGUCCGUUUCUUAAUUUAUUUCACUCAAGUCCAUGACAGGAGAGCUCGAUCAGCACCGAAAAGAUGGCAAACGGUGGAGAAGUCUGGAGUCCUGCAUGGCCGCACCUGCCCGAUGUCACCUGAGGAACUGGAAGGUGAUGCUGCUUGUGUUUGUAUGUCUUCUGGGUCUCGUUGAUGGACAUUUCCUUCAGGAGGAGAAAGAAGAAUCCCGUCCUAGCAAGCUGAGAGCCUCUUCAACCUCUGCAGAACAUCCAGGACCGCAGAAAGCUCUAGAUGAGUGGCAGAGCAGAGCACCAUGGGCACGACUGCAUGGUCAGUAUAUCCCUGACACUGUGAGGGAAACCGGGGCUAG
This 533-nucleotide long non-coding RNA is filed under the name Sinocyclocheilus grahami. RNAcentral describes it as "lncRNA (ENSSGRG00000032096.1)". The record is from RNAcentral. Lineage: Eukaryota; Metazoa; Chordata; Actinopteri; Cypriniformes; Cyprinidae.